RNAcentral lists this ribosomal RNA (465 nucleotides) under Vreelandella stevensii. Its description in RNAcentral is "partial 16S ribosomal RNA". It matches the Rfam family "Bacterial small subunit ribosomal RNA", at positions 338 to 795 of the family's 1533-position model. The record is from RNAcentral. Lineage: Bacteria; Pseudomonadati; Pseudomonadota; Gammaproteobacteria; Oceanospirillales; Halomonadaceae.
CCUACGGGGGGCAGCAGUGGGGAAUAUUGGACAAUGGGGGGAACCCUGAUCCAGCCAUGCCGCGUGUGUGAAGAAGGCCCUCGGGUUGUAAAGCACUUUCAGUGAGGAAGAACGCCUGGUGGUUAAUACCCAUCAGGAAAGACAUCACUCACAGAAAAAGCACCGGCUAACUCCGUGCCAGCAGCCGCGGUAAUACGGAGGGUGCGAGCGUUAAUCGGAAUUACUGGGCGUAAAGCGCGCGUAGGUGGCUUGAUAAGCCGGUUGUGAAAGCCCCGGGCUCAACCUGGGAACGGCAUCCGGAACUGUCAAGCUAGAGUGCAGGAGAGGAAGGUAGAAUUCCCGGUGUAGCGGUGAAAUGCGUAGAGAUCGGGAGGAAUACCAGUGGCGAAGGCGGCCUUCUGGACUGACACUGACACUGAGGUGCGAAAGCGUGGGUAGCAAACAGGAUUAGAUACCCUAGUAGUC